GGGUGGGGCUCGUCUCGCGCUGCGCUCCUGGCCGCUAGGGGGCGCCAGGGCGCGGCGGGGGGUUCCGCCCUGAGGGAGCCGGGGCUGAGGGAGGGACGGGGCUCACAGCCCGGGGAAUGCCGCGGGAGCUCAGGGAGGGAUGGGGCUCACAGCCCGGGGAGUGCCACGGGAGCUCAGGGAGGGAUGGGGCUCACAGCCCGGGGAGUGCCGCGGGAGCUGAGGGAGGGAUGGGGCUCACAGCCCGGGGAGUGCCGCGGGAGCUGAGGGACGGAUGGGGCUCACAGCCCGGGGAGUGCCGCGGGAGCUGAGGGAGGGACGGGGCUCAUAGCCCGGGGAGUGCCGCGGGAGCUCAGGGAGGGAUGGGGCUCACAGCCCGGGGAACGCCGCCCUCAGCCCCCAGGGAGCCGGAACUGAGGGAGGGAUGGUUUGACCCUACGCCAGGCAGCGCCAGCCUUUCCCUUGUAUAAAUCUCGGUGUGGCACCUUACAGCUUGUCCCUCCUAAGCUCAGGACCUGCUUUGCCAUCCCACCUGUCCUGGGUAGGUUUUGAAGGUCUGUUUUUUACAGAACCCGUUGCCAAAAGGUGAGCUUAGACAGGAUUGCCUUACAGGAAAAGAACAGAUACAAGGUAUAUUCUUUGUAAAAGCCUGAACUUCCCGUGUGUCUUGAGAGGCUCACCUUGUAUCACCAUUGUAGAACAGUAGGCUUUAUCCUCACUAAAAAUAAAGUUAGAAUUGAAAAAUAGCUUAUACCCAUUAGGAUGAACUUAACUACUGUAUUGCUAUAAGAAACUCCUGGGAUUUUUUCUUUUUUAUUUGAUAUUUCUGAAUAGCUAUUUAAGUUAUUUUCUUCACCCUUAAGAGAAUACAAAUAUAGUGUAGUUUAGAUGCAAAGCACAUACUUGAACCCACAAAGUGAAUUCAUUUUGUAUUGUGUUCACGGUAAAACACAGCAGCUGAAAAAAGAGUUGUGACUGAAAGGAAAAUGCCCACAUAAUAUCUAAACCCUGUAAUUUUUACAGCAUAUCUUUGGCUGGGUGUGAAAUCCCAGGGUUAAAAGUGCUCCUGUGUAAAGAAAAUGAUCCAAGAAAUGUACCCCUGCACCAGCAAUGUGUAAGAAACAGGUGGAGAAUAGGAGAUCUUGAGGUUGUUUUCAAUUUUCAAGGAUCUGCGUCCAUAUCAGGAGCUCAUUGCAAGUGAAACACAUCCUCAUGGUGAGCUGUUUUCCAGUGCUGGUGAGACAUCAAAAUCCAGCAUUUGGGCAGUUGUCGAAAUGAAGAACUAGGGAAAACAUUACUCUUAUCAUCUUUCAACCAUUUUUAGCAGUUGCUUUUGAUUUUAUUUCUUUGCUGGAUUUAUACACCCUUGAAACAGAUAACUGAGAAGAGGAUUUGGAAGUGGAUGAUCUUUGCUUUUUUAUAUUCAAUUUUUAGCAGGCAGAGAGGAACCAGUUUUUGUAUAAAGGUAGAGAAAUGCACACCUGGGUCAUAUACAGGGAAAAGGUCUACCUAGUAAAAGUCUGGAUACAUCUGGAUUCAUAUCGCCUCUAAAAUUAUCCAAACACACCCUAAGUGACCAAAAUCACUGUGAACUCUGACUCUGCUCUUCAAUUACACUAAGCAAGGAUGGCAGCAGUACCAAAUCCUGGAUAUUGGGCACUAAUGCAAUGUUACAGCUGGAUAAUGCAAAGUUGCAGCUCAAUAAAGAGCCAAGCUUUUAAAGGAGCUGUUGAGGAAGGUUUGGGUUGUGGUUGGUCACCUCCUUGUUACCUUAGGUUAGGGAUCAUUUAGAGUUUGUUGUGGUAUCCCAGGAAGUUUCUGGUUUCUCCUAGGUGUGUAUAGUCAGUGGCAUGGCUACAUCCAAGAAUAUUGUGUAAAUUUGGGUGGUGGCAGAUGUAAUUUCUCUGCUGCUGAGCUGGGCUUUGGGCUUGGUUUUGCCUCAGCAUGCCACAAAGGACCUGAGAAGAAAACACAGAGGGAUUGUGCACUGUUACCAGCAGUUACCACGUGCUGCUCAGUGGUGCCCUAGGGCUGGGAGCAAGGAUUUUCCAGGAUUUUGAAGGAAAUUUUGAAGGUUAGAGCUGGUGCUGUCCCAGCCACCUAGUUACACAAGGCUCUGUGCUUGGCAAAAGCAGCUCCCCCAGUGCCAAGAAUCAUUUGGAGUCAGUUUGUUCCAUUGCUGGGUGGAGCCUGGAUUUUGAGUUGGCGUGUAGCAAGCUGCUGAGCUAAGUUUAGAGCUGCUGUGGUCAGUGGGUUUCUUACUAACAAUUUUGGUCUGGCAGGGUUCCUUCCCUGGGGCUGGAUUGGAUGAAAGGGUUCAUCAGCCCUCAGGGAUAUACUGGAUUUAAGAGGAGUUGUCUGGCUGAUUUAAGGGGGUUUUGUUAUCCACUUUCGUUAUCCCUGUCAUCCAUAUCUGCCUCGUUCUGUGUCCAGUAUGAGCUCCCUGGCCAUGGUUUGGUUCCAUCCAAGGCCCUUGCAGAUGUGAAGGUGGCACCAGAUGGGGACUGACCCAGAGCAGGCUCUGUGGUUUAGGACUUGUCAUGUCAGGGUGAAGGCUGAGCUUUCAGCCAGGUCACCAAAGGACCAAAUGUGUCAUUAUGUCACAUUUAAAGCCAGCACUUCCUGAAGCCUUUUGGAUUUGUCUUCAGAGCCGAGUUUAGGCUUGGAGUUGCCUGCACUUUAUAUUGUUCUCCUUACACUCUUGUCAUAAUUUCUGGGUAUUCUGACCUUUUCCAGCAUCUCCAAGAAGCAAUGAGACAAUAACAAAUCCCACAAUUAAUACCCCCUCACAAGAUCCUGGGGUUGCAACAGUCUUUUAGCUUAGUUUCUUGAAAAAAAAAAAAGAGGUUUGUGUUCUUAGUACUCUGUUCUUCAAAUAGAACAUGGACCUAAUUGUGACCUACAGAAACUCUGCAUUUUCUGGCUUGGUGUGAAUGGGCAGCUUCAACAAAAAGAAGAGAGAUUUUCAGUUAGAGCUGCACUGAGGACAGAGCUCAGUCCUCUGGAGACGUUUGUUGCUGACACAAUGUUCCUGAAAUGGAGGUUAAUCUUCCAGGGGGUCUUUUUUGCUUCUCCCUGGAGAUAACUCACCGAGAAUCCUUGAGGCAGCAGUGAUGAUAGCAGAAGGAAUGACUGCCACAAACAGAGUGACAUAAUUUAAUCCCAUGGCCUUAGAUAAGUUAUUAAGUACCAUUCCUUAAUCAUGCUCUGUUAAGAGUGAGUAGCUUCUAAACAUUUAAUACAUGUAAUACUCAAGUCUUCCCAGCAUGAAGUUUUUUGCACAAGUAAAUUUUAGUUUUUCAGAGAAGAAGGAAGUCUCUACCUAGAGAAUAUUUUUUCCUUCUUAUAUCUGGAGUUUCAUGCCAGAAGUUUUGGUUGAGGCUGAGCCCUGCAGGAGCUGCCAGUCCUGCCUGCAUGGGACGUCUGCAUGGCUACUUCCACUUCCUGGAGAAGACAAUGAAUGAGGGAUUCUGGUUUUUACGUUUUUUCUUGGGAUUCUUUUACUUGAUUUCUUCUGGUUUUCUUUGUUUCCUUCCUGCUCUGGACUAUGUAUAGUAAAGACGUUUUAUGUCUUUCAUCCUACUCCCUCCAUUUCUUGUUAGUAAUUUUGAGGGUUUUUUUCUCCUUUAUGUUCCUUUAAAAAAGCUAAUUUGACAUCCGUAGAUGAAAAGGCUGCUCACACAAUCAUUUCAGCAAGGGAUCUAGGAAAAAUGAGGACACAUACUGUGGGAGUGUGUCAGGAAAUGCAUGCAGUGCUAUUCAAGUAUUACCUUAUUAUGUGUUCUUGUAGGUAAUGUCACCCAGCACAGAAGGGUGAGGACUCUACAGCAGCCCAAAAUACAGCCCUGUGGCUUGGGAGGGAAGAAAACCACUCUGUUGAUAGUGAUUUUGUUCUAAGACAUCAGUGUAAACAUUGCUGUUUAUUUUUCCUCUAAGUGCAAUGAAUGCAACCUGAUCUCUGCUUCUAAAUCUAUAAUAGUUUAAAAAAAAUGCACUUGUAGACUGAUUUUCCAGUUUUUCCAGGCAGUAAUUCCCUCCCUGCUCUUACAAAAAAAAAAAACAUUUUUCCUUAUCAGUGGCAAGUUGGCAGAGAAGUUCCUGGUCAUAGGGCUACAAAAGAAAUUAGAGGCAGGGACACACAAGCAGCUGAAUAAAUCUGUGGGACUGGGACUGUUGCUGCUGUUAAUUCUCAGCACUUCUUUCCCUUCACACAGGAGCACACGGGUAGUGUAAGACAGUGACCCUUGGUCUGCAGGGUACAGGCUGAAGCACUUAGGUAAAGAACAAAUCAGAGGCUUCUUGGCAAGCAACAUCCUGAGCCCUCAGAGGCAUCCUUGUUUGUAACUCCACAUAAACGUGCUGUUCCAGAGAUCCCUGGGGAGGAGUAUGGCUGUUCAAGGGCAGUGCUUUCUGAGGGAGCAUCGUGGUUGAACUUGUGCAUCCUGCCAGGAAGAGGCUGAUAGAGCCUGGGAUGUGGUGUGACCUCCCAGCUGGCCCAUUAAAUGCCUGUCACUCCUCUGACCUGGGACAACUCUGAAAAGUGGGAUUCCUUCUGGUGCUGAGAUGGAUCAGGCUGAAGCACCUUGUUGUGCUACUCUGGGCUUUCCCAUGUGCCUGCUUACAGGGCUCUCAGGGAAUGCUUCUCUGAUGGCAUUUCUUGCACCAAAAGCAAGGUGGGUGUCCCUCUCUGCUCCCGCAUAGCCAGCAAGAGUUCUGACCCUUAAAGAGCCUUUGUUUUUCCUGUAUGGAGGGCAUCAGUUCCAUUUCCCAGAAUGUUUCUUCUGGGAGACUGUGAGACUCAGCGACUGAUUUGCAAGUGCUGUUAGAGAUGGAGCAUUGUGCACUUCUGCCUUGACAACCAGGAGAUGCACCCACAGGCACUGCUGGCUGUUGUGGACUCUGCUUGGACUUGGUUUUUGGGAAGAAGACAAACACAAGUGAGUGGAGAAGGGUCUUGAUAAGACUUUUUUCUGAGAAAGAAAAAACACAGAAAAAGCUACACAAGCUGUUCAAAAACUGUAUUUCAAUGCUCUCUGCACUUCCUCCGAGCAAUCUUCCUCCCAGAGAACAGAACAAGUGGAACUGUGCAACAGUAAGUGAAGUUUUAGUAAUAUUUUUUUAUAUGCUGGCUUUUGAUAGCUAUUGAAAAUUGUUUCAGAGAUGUUUGGGUAAUCCAGACACACUGCCAAAGCUGGAGGUACAAACAAGAUUUGCUGUUGGGUGCAAUCAGGAAAAGGGGGAGGAAGAAGCAGGCAGAGCACAGCUGGGCAGCUCCCUAACAUGGCUUUACCAGGAAAGUUUCUGUGCAGCCCAUGGGUGGCUUUGCUCCACUCACUGCCUCAUUCCCGAGCGAGCAGCUCUCUGAGAGCUCCCUCCACUGGAAUAAGAGUUUAGUUGGUCAUUACUAAAAUGAAUCCUGGUGAAAACACAAAAUGGGAGUAGAAAAAAAAAAACAACCCAAAAAACCAAAAAACAACAACAACAACAAAAAAAACCACCCAAAACCAAAACAACCAACCAAUGAAACAAACAAGCAAACAAACAAAACCCACCCCAAAAAUCUGCAUUUAAAGCACUGAUACUUCUCACAGGUGGUGAUAAAUACAAAUCCCAUGUUUUUAACCCUGCUGCUACAUCUCAUGCAUUCCAUACAUUCCGCUUGUGGAAGGAUUGAGUGUUACUGGGCAAGAGAGAGGCACUGCCCCUGGCUGGGGCAUCUGUGCUUCAGGAUGAUUCAUCAGCUCAGAUGGAAUUGGGCUGCUUAAGCUGGAACAAGUAGGGGCUGUGGGAGCAGGACUUGUAUAUUUGUGUGGCUCCCAGAAACGGCACCUUAAAAGAAUGGGAGGAUCUAAUGUGUUCCCUUGGCUGUGAAAUUCAGGAGAGGCUGGAGUGAGAGCUGUUUGGAGAAAUAAAUUGUGAUGAACUUCCUAGUUCAGUGAUUAUGAGCUGCAGUGUGGUAAAGGGUAGUGAGAUAUGUCCUCCCAAUAUCUCAGUUUAAAUGGUGUCCCCUUGCUUUGGACUAGCUCAUAUUUAAGUUGCAGCAAUCUUUUUUUCCUACUCUUCUCUGGAGCUAAUCUUCAAGACAAUAUAAAUUGCUAUUCACAGAUCUUGAAUUUUGCUUUGUUUCUGGUAAAACAAAUCACCCCAGUCAAGGUCUCCUAGAACUAUGCUGUACAAGCACAAGGGAAUGUAUGAUCUCUGCCCCAGUUCAGGAUAAUGAGUCUUUGGCUCACUUGCUCACUUCAAAUGACAAUCAUAUGUACCCGUUCACUAAAUCCUUGAGAAAAUGCAGGAGAACCAGGCCAGAAAUAAGUAUAAAAACCUAGGUCCAAGCAGAGAAAAUUUUGAACUACCAGAAUGUGAAAAUAAGAGAUUUUCAAAGUGAAAGGUGACCCCAUCCUGCCUUCUUCAUUUGCAUUUCACUUCUAUUAUAAGUUUGAGUCAUGGGGCUCAGGUAAACUUGGGGCAGACAUGGCAGAUCUGCAUCGGUCCAGUGAUGGUGUCAUUCCUGGUGCGGUGCUGGGGAGAGGACAAA
This is a non-coding RNA of Taeniopygia guttata (zebra finch), 6532 nucleotides long. Lineage: Eukaryota; Metazoa; Chordata; Aves; Passeriformes; Estrildidae. The record is from RefSeq and is a predicted model, not a curated record.